AGUGAACGCUGGCGGUAGGCCUAACACAUGCAAGUCGAACGGCAGCACAGGAGAGCUUGCUCUCUGGGUGGCGAGUGGCGGACGGGUGAGGAAUACAUCGGAAUCUACUCUGUCGUGGGGGAUAACGUAGGGAAACUUACGCUAAUACCGCAUACGACCUACGGGUGAAAGCAGGGGAUCUUCGGACCUUGCGCGAUUGAAUGAGCCGAUGUCGGAUUAGCUAGUUGGCGGGGUAAAGGCCCACCAAGGCGACGAUCCGUAGCUGGUCUGAGAGGAUGAUCAGCCACACUGGAACUGAGACACGGUCCAGACUCCUACGGGAGGCAGCAGUGGGGAAUAUUGGACAAUGGGCGCAAGCCUGAUCCAGCCAUACCGCGUGGGUGAAGAAGGCCUUCGGGUUGUAAAGCCCUUUUGUUGGGAAAGAAAUCCAGCUGGCUAAUACCCGGUUGGGAUGACGGUACCCAAAGAAUAAGCACCGGCUAACUUCGUGCCAGCAGCCGCGGUAAUACGAAGGGUGCAAGCGUUACUCGGAAUUACUGGGCGUAAAGCGUGCGUAGGUGGUCGUUUAAGUCCGUUGUGAAAGCCCUGGGCUCAACCUGGGAACUGCAGUGGAUACUGGGCGACUAGAGUGUGGUAGAGGGUAGCGGAAUUCCUGGUGUAGCAGUGAAAUGCGUAGAGAUCAGGAGGAACAUCCAUGGCGA
RNAcentral lists this ribosomal RNA (701 nucleotides) under uncultured Pseudomonadota bacterium. Its description in RNAcentral is "bacterial SSU rRNA". It matches the Rfam family "Bacterial small subunit ribosomal RNA", at positions 28 to 718 of the family's 1533-position model. The record is from RNAcentral. Lineage: Bacteria; Pseudomonadati; Pseudomonadota.